CAAUAAAAAUAAAGUAUUAUUUCCCGAUAAAAAAAAGAUCUAUACAAAAAUUAAUAAUAGUUAGAGCUCUACAAUGUAGAAUUAUUGUCUAAAAAGGUUUGUAUAGUAGUGAAAUACUCUCAGUUUUUUAGAUAUCUGGAUUAAGUUUAAAUGAAUAUAGUUCUUUACAUAAUCGAAGAGUUAUAAGAUUCUUUGAGUGGUAGAAUUAUAAGUUAAAAGUUCUAUUGGAAUAAUUUUCUAAGUCUUAUUAUAAAAUAAUAUAUAUAUUUAAGCAGACAUCUAACUACUAAACUUGUGUUCAUUUUAGUAAUUAUAAUGGAUUAAUAAUGUUUCAAUUAGUAUUUAAAUAUAUCCUUAAAAGGAACUCGGCAAAAAUUCUCCUCAACUGUUUACCAAAAACAUAGCUUAGAGAAAUUUUUUUUUAUUCUAGGUGACUUCUGCCCAGUGAAUAUAUUUAACGGCCGCAGUACACUGACUGUGCUAAGGUAGCAUAAUAAUUUGGCUUUUAAUUGGGGUCGGGUAUGAAAGGAAUUAUGGGGAGUGUCUGUCUCUUUUUGAUAAAUAAAAGUUACUAAGAAAGUGAAAAUUCUUUCAAAUACUAUGUAAGACGAGAAGACCCUAAGAAUUUUUAUAAAUUAUAGACUUUAAUACUAUUAAAAUUUUUGUUGGGGCAACAACUUUGGUUAACCAAAGCUCAUUAUAUAAUAUACAACAAAUUAUUUUAAGAAAGAUUUAAAUUACCUUAGGGAUAACAGCAUAAUUAAUUAUUAGAUUGUGACCUCGAUGUUGGACUAAGGACUUAAUUAAAUAGUCUUUAAUUAAGCAAGUUCUGUUCGAACUACUUUACCUUA
RNAcentral lists this ribosomal RNA (851 nucleotides) under Schileykula contraria. RNAcentral describes it as "partial 16S ribosomal RNA". The stretch from base 383 to 536 matches the Rfam family "Eukaryotic large subunit ribosomal RNA", at positions 2135 to 2329 of the family's 3401-position model. Lineage: Eukaryota; Metazoa; Mollusca; Gastropoda; Stylommatophora; Orculidae. The record is from RNAcentral.